ACCUCUCCCCAUAAUUUACUACACUCCUUGGCCUGGCUGUCCUCGCUUGCUGUCCGCCUUUCUUCGGAGCCAACAAACUCAAGUUUCCGUCGUCGUUCAUUCUCCCCACUCUUGUCCUGCCUGUUGGUCCCAUCAACUCCCUCCCAGCAACUCUCCAGGACUCCCGGACAAGGCUCACCUUCUCCGUUGACUGCUCUCCAGGAUAAGUUACCGGAACUCCAAAUUUCCGGUAUUUAGUUAUUGGUUCAUAUUGAAUGUCUUGUCCCACGAAACUUUAGCAGACUUCUCCCCACUUGUUGUACGGGUAUUAUGUCCAAGCUGGAAUUUCAGCAACCGAAGCACCAGCACCCGAAGCACCAGCACCGACAGAGCUCCUGUUCAGAUGCACGUAUACAAUAAUACAGCCUAGGAUUUGUCGUGUGAUUAGGGACAACUUUCGUCGGUCGUCAUCACCAGCUGGAUUCGCCUUUCAUCUUCAGCCACCGUAUAAAUUGGUUGAGCCUCGUGCUCCUUGUUCACCUCGGCUCGACUCGACCUGUGGUAAACUUGUGCGGAUUGGAGAUCUUAAAUAUUUUCGCGGCCACUCAUAAUCUGAAUUAGGGAAUUCAAAGUUCGCAUUCCACACUCUCUUUUCGCAUGGCCAGGUUUUCUACGGGACUAUUCUGGACGAAGUAACGCUACAAUCAAAUUUAGUCAUUAACUACCAUACAUUUUCCCUCUAUCAUCUUGCUUCCACCCAUGAAUAGCGAUUCUGUUGUUGACCUUACUACCUCUUCGCCGCCACCUUUCGCGGAUCAAAACUCGUCGAGCAUGUAUGUUUUUCGGGCGAGGAGCCCACGAUCAUUCGCUGUCAUGGAAGGAUGCCCAUCCCCUAAAAGACGACGAGUUGACACUUCUUCUGUCGCCGGGCCCUCGGCGCACCAAACACGGCAUCACAACCAGGUCAGCAGUUUAGAUAACGAUACAGACAUCGAGUCGAUCGAUCUCACGGAGGUAAACGACAAGGUAUCUCUAGCUAAGGUUCUUUCGAAACAACGCGAAGAUGCCGUAAAGGCUCAAAAUACAGUUGUUGGUGCUGUGGGCCGAUCAACGCUGAUAGCGUACAAGUGUCCUGUUUGUAUGGAUACUUGUGUUGACGCCACAUCUACCAUUUGUGGCCAUCUCUUCUGUCACAAAUGCAUCACCGACACCCUUCGAUUUGGCGAAGAAAGAAGUGCGCACGACGGCCAUGGUAAGGCACCUCGUGGCAGGUGCCCUGUCUGUCGUCAAACACUUUCGCGCGUAGAUACUUAUGGACCGAAACGAAACCUUGUUCCUCUCCAAUUAAAUCUUUUAACAAGAAAGGAUCUAAAAUCCGAUAGUGGAACAUUCUAGUAUUUUAGUUUCAUAGCGUAGCGGGACACAGGAUUGGAUUCCUGGCGUUUGCAUGAUGUGACGGAGUUUUAAAUCUGGAUAUUCGGGAACACAGGAUACAAAGGGACUUGUAUGGUUUUACUGCUUCUUGCAUUGCAUUGUUUGUUUUCAAGGCAUCAGAUUUGUUUCGGAAGAUAUCCGGCGUGUUGUUCUAACACCGUUUUAACAGGCUUAUCGAUGGUUAUCUUCUCUUUCACUUCGUGAUCCAUAGAGCAUAUAAACAGCCACACAGGUGAUUGUGCCAUCGACAGUAUCUGUUAAAUAAAGAAAAUUAUACUCGUUUGUGUAUGUAUCUUUACCGAAUUGACUGUUUUACAAAGCGCCACUGCUUCCCUUAGGCCCAACGCUGCCGACCCCUCCCAAUGGCUCCAAUGUAUUCCGCCUACUCCUCGCCGCGGCUAGCCCGCCUCUAACAAUCGCAUCGCCUUUUUUACCCAGCACAACUUCCAACGCCUGUGUAAGUGCCGUUGGGUCAUACCGCAUCCCAACCACCACACCCGAUUCAUUCUCCACCUUCCUCCCAUACAAUCGCACACAUUCAAUCCCCAUCCCAGCCAAACGUUCGCGGUCUACAGGUGGCGUUCCAGGGCCCUCCAGAUGCAAGAUGUGAGUAACGUAUGACGUAUACGGCAGCGAAACAGCUGGCCGGGUUUCCGUGGAACUCUCAGACGUUUUAUCUUCGUUCAAACGUGUUAAAUGAUGGUACUUGAGGCCCCGACUUUCCUCGCCAGCACGGACAAUGGCUUCGAUAAAAUCUGCUGCGGUGAAGGGCUGUCUUGCCGGCCCUGUCUCGCGGUCUAUGGACCCGUUCAAUAUCAGGAUCUUCUGCCGGGCACCGCUGUUAUAAAUAGCUUUUCCCACACCCUUGAGGAUUAUGCAAGGUAUUAUAGACGUGUAGAGUGAGCCGAUACUGUAUAUUAUGGCCUGUGAUGAAUACAACGCAUCUAGAACACGGGGGUUGGCUGGGGGUCUGAUCUCUUGACCAUAGGGGUUUAUGUACCAAAGCCGAGAGAUGCGGCAGGGGAGAUCUUCUGUCCCGGUUUUGCUGAAGGUUACGUUCUUGUUGCGCAGUGUUGGAAGAGAGCCUGGGAGGUGGCUUUCAUUGUAUGGGAGGUCAUCAGAAUCAGAGCAAGCGUCGUCGCCAUCGGCAAGGAGGAGGCUGGGCCUUCUGAGUGAUGGGAUUGGCUGGAUAGCUGUUGCUUCACUUGGAUGGGAAAUGCUGUUCUGGCCGACGAUGACUGAGCCAUCAACUAGAGAGGCCGAUAUGUGGUGGGAAAACGUGGAGUUUAUAGCGGGGAUUACACGGACAUCGUCUGUGGGGACUGAGCAGAUGCUGCCCAGCAGGUAUAUGGCACUCUCGAGACUGCCACUGAAGAGGCGUGCGCCUGUCAAAAACAGAUUGCCUACACUAGCAGAGGUGAAGUCAAAUGUUGAAGACGGCGGUCUUGCACGCUUAAGGAUUUCCAGGUUGAGGAGAUUCAAAAAGGAGCGGAUCAGUUCCCUCUUUGCCGGGGAUAUAGCUUCCCACAAGGGCGACGUCCCCUCGACUAUGGAAUACCAUUCAGCAUGCGCUGUGCUCGCUGAUGGGGCUAAACGAUGGUUGAAGAACGUUUUAAGCGCUGCCCGCUCAGAGUGUGGAGGGCAUUCAGGAAUCAGACGGACGAGCCUACCUAUCAAGUUUUAUAUUAGGCGUGGGCUUUUAAAAGAUACCUUGGGAUAUGGGCUGUACAGAUACGUACGACUGCCAUCCUAGAAUCGUAGUUACAGAACAAAAGACGACAUGUAUAAAGUAACUUACUCCGUACAUCACCAAUUCCAGGCCCACCAAACACCCGAAUCAACUCGGAAGAAGAACCGCCAUUAUCACUAAUGGGAAUUAUAUAGCUGAGAGGACACUCCUUGCUUUGGCGGACCGCACCGAAUACAUCUACAAGGCUAUUCGCUGCGCUUCCGCCAGAAAAUACAACGAUUCCCCUGGGUGUGACCAUCGGCCCAAUGCGCGCCGGAAUGAUGAAGCUCAAAUAUCAACAAGCGGAAGGAAGAAAAUCAAUGAUGGCAGCACGUUGCACUUAAAAAAACAAAGUCCAAAGGAGCAAAGAACACCAUGUGAAAACUCCGAGACAAAAUCGAGUUCAGCUUUAAGUUGUUAGGCUUGUUUCAUUUGAGCCGAAGGAUCCAUUUGAAGCAUUGAACUCUAGCCGGGAUACGUGCGUGCCGCCGGAAGCUAACCUUGGAAACAAGAAAAUACGGCAUACGGGGAACGAGAAAUACGACAAACUGAAAGAUCUACUGUGUAUGUUAUUCUAUAAAGACGCUUUAGAAUUAUGUGCUGGGUAUCGAUUUUGUACACCUUCACUUUGUACUAGACUUUAUCAAUAUAAACAUCUGCACGAACGCACGCAUCUGAAUGUAUUUAACCCAAGAAUCCCAUAUGUAGCCAAAUAUUUUGUGCAAUAAAAUCAUUCGGGGUAUCUAAUUAAGCAUAUGCUGCCCAAC
This 3909-nucleotide small RNA is filed under the name Histoplasma capsulatum. RNAcentral's name for it is "hypothetical RNA". RNAcentral also lists the same sequence under 1 other name. Lineage: Eukaryota; Fungi; Ascomycota; Eurotiomycetes; Onygenales; Ajellomycetaceae. The record is from RNAcentral.